Molecule: ribosomal RNA, 494 nt
Filed under: uncultured bacterium
Lineage: Bacteria
Description: bacterial SSU rRNA
Rfam family: Bacterial small subunit ribosomal RNA
Source: RNAcentral
GUAAACGAUGAAUACUAGGUGUGGGAGGUAUCGACUCCUCCCGUGCCGCAGCUAACGCAAUAAGUAUUCCGCCUGGGGAGUACGGCCGCAAGGUUGAAACUCAAAGAAAUUGACGGGGACCCGCACAAGCAGCGGAGCAUGUGGUUUAAUUCGAAGCAACGCGAAGAACCUUACCAGGGCUUGACAUCAAUUGACCACCUAAGAGAUUAGGUUUCCCUUCGGGGCAAGAAGACAGGUGGUGCAUGGUUGUCGUCAGCUCGUGUCGUGAGAUGUUGGGUUAAGUCCCGCAACGAGCGCAACCCUUAUAUACAGUUGCCAAUAUUCAGUUAGGAACUCUGUAUAAACUGCCGUGGUUAACACGGAGGAAGGUGGGGAUGACGUCAAAUCAUCACGCCCCUUACGUCCUGGGCUACACACGUGCUACAAUGGCUAUUACAAAGAGCAGCUAAACAGUAAUGUCAAGCGAAUCUCAAAAAGAUAGUCUCAGUUCAGAU